This 87-nucleotide transfer RNA is filed under the name Nevskiaceae bacterium. RNAcentral's name for it is "tRNA-Leu". It matches the Rfam family "tRNA". From Rfam's summary of the family: Transfer RNA (tRNA) molecules are approximately 80 nucleotides in length. Their secondary structure includes four short double-helical elements and three loops (D, anti-codon, and T loops). Lineage: Bacteria; Pseudomonadati; Pseudomonadota; Gammaproteobacteria; Nevskiales; Nevskiaceae. The record is from RNAcentral.
GCCCGGGUGGCGAAAUCGGUAGACGCAAGGGACUUAAAAUCCCUCGGGGGAAACCCCGUGCCGGUUCGAGUCCGGCUCCGGGCACCA